GAUGAACGCUAGCGGCAGGCCUAACACAUGCAAGUCGAACGGUAACAUAGGAAAGCUUGCUUUCCUGAUGACGAGUGGCGCACGGGUGCGGAACGCGUAUGGAACCUGCCCCUGUCAGGGGAAUAGCCCAGAGAAAUUUGGAUUAAUGCCCCAUGGUAACACCAAGUUGCAUGAUUUGGUGUUUAAAGAUUUAUCGGACAGGGAUGGCCAUGCGUAUCAUUAGCUAGUUGGUAAGGUAACGGCUUACCAAGGCAACGAUGAUUAGGGGCCCUGAGAGGGGGAUCCCCCACACUGGUACUGAGACACGGACCAGACUCCUACGGGAGGCAGCAGUGAGGAAUAUUGGACAAUGGUGGGAACACUGAUCCAGCCAUGCCGCGUGCAGGAUGACUGCCCCAUUGGGUUUGUAAAACUGCUUUUAUACGGGAAAACCCAGGUACGUGUACCUGGCUGACGGUACCGUAAG
This 466-nucleotide ribosomal RNA is filed under the name uncultured bacterium. Its description in RNAcentral is "bacterial SSU rRNA". It matches the Rfam family "Bacterial small subunit ribosomal RNA", at positions 28 to 484 of the family's 1533-position model. The record is from RNAcentral.